CAACAUGUGCUUAAUUCCACCAGCGCCAAAUGAGGAACACCCCACUGGAAAUGCUGACACCCCGCCAGCACCAAACAAGGAACUUAUUGGAAAUUCUGACACCCAAUCGCCAACAAGUGAGGAACAACUCAUUGUAAAUCCUGACACCCAUCACCACCCAUCAAGAGACACCUCUUCGGGAUGUCUCUCCUGAGUGUGUGUGAGGAUGGCAAUCUGCCUACUCCAGUACUGGGCAUGCUCUCUAUUAUUGAGGAAAAGGGACUACAUACGGAGAAGAUCUUCAGAACAAUAGCCAACAAAUCCUUCCAAACCCUUAAAGAAAAGCUUGAUAAUGGGGAGGAAGUCAACUUGACUGAGGAAUCUGUCCUUGUUGUUGCAUCUGUCUUAAAGCAGUGAGCAAUGGAACAACUUCUGAAUCCAGUACCAUCGAAGGUCAUAGUGUUCUACAGAACCAAAAACUGGAGGAUGAUGAUUGAGUCAGCAUCUGGAUCGGCCAAGCUAUCUUUCUGCCCAUGAUUUUCUCAGUAACUGGAGACAUGAGUCUCCAGAACUCCAUUGGGCUACAUCCUUCACUUUCUAUAUUAUUCUACUGAAAACUAGUUUUGGAAACCACUUACAACAUUUAACAGAAUUUGUUUGAAUCUUCUGGUUUUGUCCAGAAAUGAGAAUUCCUUUAAAUGAUAUUGAACAUGCCACCAUCAACCAAUAGAGAAACCCAAAGUGAUAUUUUUAGAGUAUGAAUUUGAGCCAUGAGUAAGAACUUCUCAGGUUCCAACUCAUUUUAUUUGAGGGUUUUCUUCUACCUCACACUUACCCAUAGUUUAGAAAACCUUAUUAUAUGACAUUCCUUCUGUUCUUCUAUUUUAUCAUAUUUGCUACAAAUAGUUUCA
Molecule: long non-coding RNA, 890 nt
Organism: Peromyscus leucopus (white-footed mouse)
Lineage: Eukaryota; Metazoa; Chordata; Mammalia; Rodentia; Cricetidae
Exons: 3
Source: RefSeq, a predicted model, not a curated record